UAUUUAAAGGGCCGCGGUAUUAUGACCGUGCAAAGGUAGCAUAAUCAUUAGUCUUUUAAUUGAGGGCUGGAAUGAAUGGUUUGACGAAGUGAUAACUGUCUCAAUAUAAGAUAUAGAAGUUAAUUUUUAAGUUAAAAGGCUUAAAUAUUAGUAGAGGACGAGAAGACCCUAUAGAGCUUUAUAUAUAAAUUUAAAUUUGAAUUUAGGAGUUUAUGAUAAUUUGUGUUGAUUGUAUUAUGUUGGGGUGACAUAAAGAUAGAAUUAACUCUUUAUUUUUGGGACAUUGAUAUAUGUAUUUUUGAUCCAUUUUUAGUGAUUAUAAGAUUAAGUUACCUUAGGGAUAACAGCGUAAUUUUUCUUGAGAGUUCAUAUCAACAGAGAAGAUUGCGACCUCGA
RNAcentral lists this ribosomal RNA (396 nucleotides) under Leptophyes punctatissima. RNAcentral describes it as "partial 16S ribosomal RNA". It matches the Rfam family "Bacterial large subunit ribosomal RNA", at positions 1920 to 2529 of the family's 2925-position model. The record is from RNAcentral. Lineage: Eukaryota; Metazoa; Arthropoda; Insecta; Orthoptera; Tettigoniidae.